RNAcentral lists this long non-coding RNA (1235 nucleotides) under Mus musculus (house mouse). Its description in RNAcentral is "long non-coding RNA chrX:12978632-12979867". The record is from RNAcentral. Lineage: Eukaryota; Metazoa; Chordata; Mammalia; Rodentia; Muridae.
GCUCUUCCUAUAGUAAGCCCUUUUCUACAUGUCCGAGACUUGUACAGAUGACUUUCACACUCUUCCUGACUUGUUUAUUAUCAUACCCAGAGUCUCUGUGACACUUAAGAGAACUUGCCAACAUGUUGGACAUCUUUCCUGACUUCUUAGGCCUGUUUCUGAUGACUCAAAGAUACUCUGUAGCUUGUCUGACACCCUCCAUGUAUAGAUUCCUUUUAUGUGUUUGAGAUUCUUCCUAUUUUAGUAUUUCUGCUCAGCCUAAUGAUUGUGACAUGCUCCCUUACACUUAUAAACCCAUUUGUGACACAGUUGUACCCUUUCCCAAUAUUCAAGACACUGUCGGGCAUGUUUGACAUCCUAGCUGCUUUUUUGAGACCCUUCAGAUUUACUGACAGAUCUGAGAACUUUCUUGACUCUGUGGGUGUAGCCCAUUCCUGACAUUUUCCCAAGUCCUCCUGCUUUGGGUGAGACUGUUCGUGACAUGUUAGACAUCUCUUCUGAGUUACUUGAGAGCCUUCACAACUUAUAUGAAAGCUUCCCCUGGCAUACCUGAGACUCUUUCAAAGGUAUCUGGGGCUCUUUCUCCCAGUUAGAGAUGCACAUUGACUUGUUUGGAGCUUAUCUUAAUCACACAGAGAAACUUUCAGACUUGUUGGAUGAAAUUCCUAAUGCCUUUAAGACAUUCCCCCAAAACAUAGCACUUUCUAACAUUCUGUUACACCGUUGGGUGUCUUUAAGGUUACUCCUGACACAUUUGAGACCCUUUUUGAUAUGGUGACAUUCUUUGUUGUACCUAAGACACUUCCAUUCUGAGACCCUUCCUGACUUAAUUACAACCCUUUUUUAAAAACAUUUCUUUUUAUUUUCUGUGAAUGAGUGUUAGCUUGCAUGUAUGUAUGUGCAUGGUAUGUACCUGGUACUCACAGAGACCAGAUGAAGAUGUUGGAUUCCCUGAAACUGGAGUUACAGAUGGAUGUGAGCUAGAUGUGGGUGCUGGGAACUGAACUGCAAGUGUAUCAAGUACUCUUAACUGUUGAGUCAUCUCUCUAGCCAAAUUAUAGCCCUGAGUUGCUUUGAAAACUUUCCUGAUUUAUUUGAGAUAUUUCUUGAUGUGUUUGAAAACUUUCCUGUAUAUUCUAGAAUGAUACUAAAAAGUUUUAGAUACCAUCUUCCAUGACUCUCCCAGUCAAAUACCUACUUGGACUGGAUUGGGAACUGGUCUGUUAUAUCUAGGA